RNAcentral lists this ribosomal RNA (482 nucleotides) under uncultured bacterium. Its description in RNAcentral is "bacterial SSU rRNA". It matches the Rfam family "Bacterial small subunit ribosomal RNA", at positions 29 to 506 of the family's 1533-position model. The record is from RNAcentral.
UUGAACGCUGGCGGCAUGCUUUACACAUGCAAGUCGAACGGCAGCACGGGGGCAACCCUGGUGGCGAGUGGCGAACGGGUGAGUAAUGCAUCGGAACGUACCCAGUCGUGGGGGAUAACGCAGCGAAAGUUGUGCUAAUACCGCAUACGACCUGAGGGUGAAAGCGGGGGACCGUAAGGCCUCGCGCGAUUGGAGCGGCCGAUGUCUGAUUAGCUAGUUGGUGGGGUAAAGGCCCACCAAGGCGACGAUCAGUAGCGGGUCUGAGAGGAUGAUCCGCCACACUGGGACUGAGACACGGCCCAGACUCCUACGGGAGGCAGCAGUGGGGAAUUUUGGACAAUGGGCGCAAGCCUGAUCCAGCCAUGCCGCGUGAGUGAAGAAGGCCUUCGGGUUGUAAAGCUCUUUCAGACGGAAAGAAAUCGGGCGCGUGAAUAGCGUGCCUGGAUGACGGUACUGUCAGAAGAAGCACCGGCUAACUACGU